UCCGAGGCUCCUGUGCCACGCACCCUCCCCCCUGCGGGGCGACCCCGCGUAUGCGUGUGUGUGUCACGCGUUUAAUCGCACAGAGUAAUUCCCAGACGUGCAAGACAAAGCAUUUCAAGCAAAGAUGGUCCAGAGUUCAAAUUGGAAAGCACAUCUCGAGGCGCUGAAUCUGUUCUCGCCGUCUGCCUCGGUCUCUGGGGCGUCGCAUCCAGGAGAAGGGUUUUAACUCCCUGCCAGAUCCGCUCGGAAUUAGCUCUUCUGGCGGUGCAGCAACAAGUGGCCCCGCCGCCUCCCUUGUGCACUCGGAGGGACUACAUCCUCCUCCUCUCCCAGCCCCUAGUCCAAACGGGAGUAGGUAAUGGCGGGGAAAGGGGGAGGUGACGAGAGCGGGGAGAAGGAAGUACAUAUUUUUUAAUUGUGAAAUUGUCUGUCUGCGUGCUGUGCUCUGGGAUUCUCUUGUCUCAAUCAACUUCAAUUUUAACGUGGCCGUAACGUUAAGAUUAAGACCUAGAAAUGAAAACGUACCCACCUUUCUUAUUACAAAGGUC
Molecule: long non-coding RNA, 548 nt
Organism: Homo sapiens (human)
Lineage: Eukaryota; Metazoa; Chordata; Mammalia; Primates; Hominidae
Source: Ensembl